AUUGUCUUUCUGUUAUGUGCUGCUUUGGCUAUCAGUCUGAUUGUUAUAGCCUUCCUUGUUUAUGCCAUCAGGAAAAAAUCCUGUAAUUGUUGCAACGCUGCCACCACUCUGCAAACAAAUGCUGCAACAGCCAGUGGUAAUCAGCAAAGUCAACAGAGAAAUGAGGACACUUUGGUUUAUUGUACACCAGUCUUUACCAGGAGGAAAGCCGGCAACGCAGGAAGAAGGAAUAAAAGAAAGGAAGAGACGAUCUACACCGAUAUCAGGGCUUUUGUGAGGGAUCAAUAAUCCAAAUACUGAUUUGCUAAUUGGU
Long non-coding RNA from Sebastes umbrosus (honeycomb rockfish), 313 nucleotides. RefSeq lists it as uncharacterized. NCBI's taxonomy places the organism in Eukaryota, Metazoa, Chordata, Actinopteri, Perciformes, Sebastidae. The record is from RefSeq and is a predicted model, not a curated record. The transcript is spliced from 3 exons.